UACGGGGGGGGCAAGCGUUGUUCGGAAUUACUGGGCGUAAAGGGCUCGUAGGCGGCCAACUAAGUCGGAUGUGAAAUCCCCAGGCUCAACUUGGGAACUGCAUCCGAUACUGGAUGGCUUGAAUUCGGGAGAGGGAUGCAGAAUUCCAGGUGUAGCGGUGAAAUGCGUAGAUAUCGGGAGGAACACCGGUGGCGAAGGCGGUUCUCUGGGCCUUACCUGACGCUGAGGAGCGAAAGCGUGGGGAGCGAACAGG
This 253-nucleotide ribosomal RNA is filed under the name uncultured bacterium. Its description in RNAcentral is "partial 16S ribosomal RNA". It matches the Rfam family "Bacterial small subunit ribosomal RNA", at positions 524 to 776 of the family's 1533-position model. The record is from RNAcentral.